CAGCCGCCGCGGGAAUACGGGGGAUGCAAGUGUUAUCCGGAAUAAUUGGGCGUAAAGCGUCUGUAGGUGGUUUACCAAGUCUGUUGUUAAAAAUCAGGGCUCAACCCUGAUCCGGCAACAGAAACUAGUAGACUUGAGUACGGUAGGGGCAGAGGGAAUUCUCGGUGUAGUGGUGAAAUACGUAGAUAUCGAGAAGAACACCAAUAGCGGAAGCACUCUGCUGGGCCGAAACUGACAUUGAGAGACGAAAGCUAGGGGAGCAAAAGGGAUUAGAGACCCCCGUAGUCCCUGUCUCUUAUAC
RNAcentral lists this ribosomal RNA (301 nucleotides) under uncultured bacterium. Its description in RNAcentral is "partial 16S ribosomal RNA". It matches the Rfam family "Bacterial small subunit ribosomal RNA", at positions 509 to 807 of the family's 1533-position model. The record is from RNAcentral.